Long non-coding RNA from Gymnogyps californianus (California condor), 1261 nucleotides. RefSeq lists it as uncharacterized. The transcript has 2 exons. NCBI's taxonomy places the organism in Eukaryota, Metazoa, Chordata, Aves, Accipitriformes, Cathartidae. The record is from RefSeq and is a predicted model, not a curated record.
UUUUGGGGGUUGCUGGCUAUGGACAAGUGGGCCGUAGAGUCCCUUCUGUUGUGUUUUGCAGGUGCCGUGGGGCGAUUCGGAUCCUCGGAGCGAAUCCUUGAGCGAAUUCUGCCAGACUGUACGAUUUGAUGCAAAGAAGGAGCGGGAGCGGUGCAUGUAGUGAAGAGUCUUCCUUGGCUUCUGGUUAUGAAGGCCGAUGCUUUGGAACUGUGCGGAGCAGUGAUGUUUUGAGGCACACGGUGUGAAAGCGAAGCCUGCCGAGAUGAGCGGAGCUCGCUCGCUUUCUGCCUGGGAAUACAAAUUGCAGAGAUGACAUCACCUCAAAGAGGAAAACUUUAUAUGUGCAAAGCAAUAGAGCGAGUAUGUAACUGGAGCGAGAGGUGUGGAAAAGGCGCUCUCUACUAGGUAGAGAAUUGCAGGCACUAAAUAGUUGGCCUUGCUAUUAAGGUAAUAAUGAAUUUUUAGGGUUUAGAUGUAUUUAUAAAGAUGAGUAAAAAGUGAAUAAAUGUAAUAGUCAUUAGUAGAUUGAUGAGGCAGUAAGUAUUGUUUAUCAUUGUUGUACAAGUACAUUCUCGAAUUGAAAUGUAAUAGAAAACUUAAUUGGAGUCAGUAAUGGACAAAUGUAAACAUAGAAACAGCUUAAAAAGGAAUUAUAGGCAGUAAUGUAUCCCAAUUGUAAUCACGGUAGUAACCAAAAUUGCAAACAAAAGCGCAAAGCUGAGCGGGCGUCUCUAAUGCCCGUAGGUCAAUGUAGCCGUCGGAAAGAAAAAAUUUACAAUUGUCGAUAGCUCUCGCUGGGGACCACAAAAUAAAGUAAAGUUUGUGAAGGGUAAUUUAAAUGAGAAUUAGGCAUUGGAAGGAGAGCUGUCAAUACCUAUAGGUAAAUGUAGCUGUUGACAGGUUAAAGGAAAGGAUGUGUGUUACUGGCUCCUAAGUAGAUCUCAAUUAGUUGUGUAAAGGUUUUCUUUUGAUUGCCUUUGAGCGGUUUAAAGAAAUGUAGAACACCGUGUGGUGUAAUCGAUGUCCAAGUGAAACACUGAUGUAAAUGAGGCUGUAGCAGGCACGAAUGAAGUCUGAGUAGUAUUAGAGGAAGGAUAUCAAGCUGUGCAGUAAUGAUGGAAUGCUCAUACAGAUGUGUCAAACAAACUUAAUUGAUGUGAAAGCUAAUGAUGGUAGUUAAAGUACUCCUUAUUUGGGUUCUAAGGUAUACCAGAGCCCCUUUGAUUUUAGAAAGCUUUAAUAAAGAUGUUUUUGCUUUUUG